This 524-nucleotide ribosomal RNA is filed under the name uncultured bacterium. RNAcentral's name for it is "partial 16S ribosomal RNA". It matches the Rfam family "Bacterial small subunit ribosomal RNA", at positions 29 to 523 of the family's 1533-position model. The record is from RNAcentral.
AAUGAACGCUGGCGGCAGGCCUAAUACAUGCAAGUCGAGCGCAGGAAACUGACGGAACUCUUCGGAGGGAAGGCAGUGGAAUGAGCGGCGGGCGGGUGAGUAACACGUAAGGAACCUGCCUCAAGGAUUGGGAUAACUCCGAGAAAUCGGAGCUAAUACCGGAUAGUUCAUCGGACCGCAUGGUCCGAUGAUGAAAGGCGCUUCGGCGUCACCUUGAGAUGGCCUUGCGGUGCAUUAGCUAGUUGGUGGGGUAACGGCCCACCAAGGCGACGAUGAAUAGCCGACCUGGGAGGGUGAUCGGCCACACUGGGACUGGGACACGGCCCAGACUCCUACGGGAGGCAGCAGUAGGGAAUCUUCCACAAUGGACGAAAGUCUGACGGAGCAACGCCGCGUGAGUGAUGAAGGUUUUCGGAUCGUAAAACUCUGUUGUAAGGGAAGAACACGUACGAGAGGAAAUGCUCGUACCUUGACGGUACCUUACGAGAAAGCCACGGCUAACUACGUGCCAGCCGCCGCCGUAA